GGCUGGAUUGGUACCAGUUAGACUGGGGGCGAAAGUGAACGUUGCGGGGGCGGUAAGUUGCUUGAGAGAACUGGCAGCGGAACGUUUAGGAUUUCAGGAGACAGUGUAGGUCUAGGGGCCGGGAGUGGUGAGAGGUACUGCUCGGGUAGGUGUGAAAUCUUGUAAUCCUGGAAGGACUACCAGGACCGAAGGCGUCUCACCAGAACGGACCGACGGCAAGGGACGAAAGCUAGGGGCACGAACCGGAUUAGAUACCCGCGUAGUC
This 265-nucleotide ribosomal RNA is filed under the name Psychrobacter sp. DAB_AL32B. Its description in RNAcentral is "partial 16S ribosomal RNA". It matches the Rfam family "Archaeal small subunit ribosomal RNA", at positions 481 to 746 of the family's 1478-position model. Lineage: Bacteria; Pseudomonadati; Pseudomonadota; Gammaproteobacteria; Moraxellales; Moraxellaceae. The record is from RNAcentral.